UCGGAGAGAGCUUGUGAUACUCCCUCCUGGAAAUGUGAUGUUGUUUUACCCUGAGUCGGUGAUUGGGUGUCCCAAUCGUCGACUCCUUAAGUUUUGGGUAACUGUGAGGAUUUUGACGACUUCUGGCCGAAGCGAUAGAAGUGUCGGGAGAGCUCGUGAUAUUCCCCCUCUUGUAAUGUUUUGAUAUUUUUGUAAUUUCUUGGAAC
Molecule: long non-coding RNA, 206 nt
Filed under: Zostera marina
Lineage: Eukaryota; Viridiplantae; Streptophyta; Magnoliopsida; Alismatales; Zosteraceae
Description: long non-coding RNA (ZMAR_LNC003941)
Source: RNAcentral